This 21-nucleotide non-coding RNA is filed under the name Caenorhabditis elegans. Lineage: Eukaryota; Metazoa; Nematoda; Chromadorea; Rhabditida; Rhabditidae. The record is from RNAcentral.
UGCUGUGUCCCUUUCUUUUCU